GAUGAACGCUGGCGGCGUGCCUAAUACAUGCAAGUCGAGCGAACAGACGAGGAGCUUGCUCCUCUGACGUUAGCGGCGGACGGGUGAGUAACACGUGGAUAACCUACCUAUAAGACUGGGAUAACUUCGGGAAACCGGAGCUAAUACCGGAUAAUAUAUUGAACCGCAUGGUUCAAUAGUGAAAGACGGUUUUGCUGUCACUUAUAGCUGGAUCCGCGCGGCAUUAGCUAGUUGGUAAGGUAACGGCUUACCAAGGCAACGAUGCGUAGCCGACCUGAGAGGGUGAUCGGCCACACUGGAACGGAGACACGGUCCAGACUCCUACGGGAGGCAGCAGUAGGGAAUCUUCCGCAAUGGGCGAAAGCCUGACGGAGCAACGCCGCGUGAGUGAUGAAGGUCUUCGGAUCGUAAAACUCUGUUAUUAGGGAAGAACAAAUGUGUAAGUAACUAUGCACGUCUUGACGGUACCUAAUCAGAAAGCCACGGCUAACUACGUG
RNAcentral lists this ribosomal RNA (497 nucleotides) under uncultured bacterium. Its description in RNAcentral is "partial 16S ribosomal RNA". It matches the Rfam family "Bacterial small subunit ribosomal RNA", at positions 28 to 507 of the family's 1533-position model. The record is from RNAcentral.